This 499-nucleotide ribosomal RNA is filed under the name uncultured bacterium. Its description in RNAcentral is "bacterial SSU rRNA". It matches the Rfam family "Bacterial small subunit ribosomal RNA", at positions 28 to 523 of the family's 1533-position model. The record is from RNAcentral.
GAUGAACGCUAGCGGCAGGCUUAACACAUGCAAGUCGAGGGGUAUAGUUCUUCGGAACUAGAGACCGGCGCACGGGUGCGUAACGCGUAUGCAAUCUACCUUUUGCAGAGGGAUAGCCCAGAGAAAUUUGGAUUAAUACCUCAUAGUAUGUGAGAAUGGCAUCAUUUUCACAUUAAAGUCACAACGGCAAAAGAUGAGCAUGCGUCCCAUUAGCUUGUUGGUAAGGUAACGGCUUACCAAGGCUACGAUGGGUAGGGGUCCUGAGAGGGAGAUCCCCCACACUGGUACUGAGACACGGACCAGACUCCUACGGGAGGCAGCAGUGAGGAAUAUUGGACAAUGGGCGCAAGCCUGAUCCAGCCAUGCCGCGUGCAGGAUGACGGUCCUAUGGAUUGUAAACUGCUUUUGUACAGGAAGAAACACUGGUUCGUGAACCAGCUUGACGGUAACGUGUAAAGAAUAAAGGAAUCGGCUAACUCCGUGCCAGCAGCCGCGGUAA